GUACUCACUUCAGCAGCACAUAUACUAAAAUUGGAAUGAUACAGAGAUUAGCACGGCCCCUACGCAAGAUGACAUGCAAAUUUAUGAAGCGUUCCAUAUUUAA
Suncus etruscus (white-toothed pygmy shrew) is the source of this 103-nucleotide small nuclear RNA. Lineage: Eukaryota; Metazoa; Chordata; Mammalia; Eulipotyphla; Soricidae. The record is from RefSeq and is a predicted model, not a curated record.